ACAAUAAAUACUGAUACAGGG
RNAcentral lists this unclassified non-coding RNA (21 nucleotides) under Dictyostelium discoideum. The record is from RNAcentral. Lineage: Eukaryota; Evosea; Eumycetozoa; Dictyosteliales; Dictyosteliaceae.